AGUUUGGACACCCCUGCCAUAUGGUCUCCACAUCAAAGGUCCAUUUCCCUACGAAGACCAUGCAUCCUGCCCAUCAACCAAUGGCCUCAGCAGCCAAGUUUGAUCACUCUAUGGAGGCUGUACACCCCUCCCAUCCCCACACCGCUGGCCCAUCACCAAAUGUCCACACCUAUGGUCCUUCACCCGGCGUACACAAUAGCUUGCUACCUGAAUCCACCUGAGAAUAAAAAGGCAGCUUUCCUGGCACCAGACAGGAGAGAUGCAGGCAACCCAUCUAUUGAGGACACUAUCUGUUAUCAACCACAGGCAGAAAAAUCAUGGACGCCAUGUGAUGGAAAAAAUGUGGGCAGAAAAAGAAGGAAUUGAAGAAGUCCUCUUGAAAAUAGAUCCGGUCCAAGUCAGAGUACUUCAAACUCUCUGCGACUUGGUUGGAGACAAAUACAGCGACGGCCCUCCUCAACAAUCGGGCCAGCAAGAGCUCUUUCCUGAGAGCGGCGUAUUCAUAUCAUUGUUCCGCCUUGCUGCCAUGAGACAUGCUGCAGAGCCCAAAUGUAGGCCUUUAUUUGGACCUCUUUUUUCUACGUGUCAAAAUGCUGUCCCUUUUUGACGCCCUGGAAACAAACCUGCAGGAACACCAAAGCGCAUCCUUAAGCGGAAAAAAGUGGAAGGAAUCCUUAGUAAGUUUUCCCAAACAGAGGGUGUUUUCAGGCCAAAAUUGGGUCACAAUAAUGAAAUAGAAGUUCAAUAUGAGAAAUGUUGAUCCCUUUUCGAUUACAGCAGACUGGAAGCAUAACUGAAUGUUACAUCAUUACAAUUUGUUAUCCACUCCAAACUAGCGUUAUGAUGAGCAAUAUAGUCUGAUGUCCAUCAACUUGAAGUGUGGUUGUGUGUAUUAAUGGUUUUGCGUAAAUGAAGGCAAUAAAAAAGCAUUAAAUGAGGCAUUUAAAAAAGGGAAUAUGAUUGUAGGACAUGGCGGACAGUCAAUAUGUCAAACGGUAAAGGAAAAGGAACUUAAGAAGGUUACAGUCGUUUCUUUUUUGAACUGCAUACAAGAGGUAUUGUAAGGUGGGAACACGACAAAAGCACUGCUUCAAUCAAGCAAAAUGAAACAUCAACUUUUCCAUUCUUUGGUCACUGUAGGCGUGUAGUCCUUAACUGUGACUCCAUGUCAGGAUAAUGGAGAAGCUGAGCCGACACGGAGUCGUUUAUUUCAAUCAUCUCCACUUCAACACAUAUGAGCUAACUUGCCUAACAUUAGCAACUGUUGUGACGCAAUUCCCUCAAGUGAUCUACGCUAGCCUAGGAUGGACAAAAGAGGCCAUUUUCACAGCAGACCACAACUAUUUCAUUCUCUGACAUUCCCACAAUAAAUGAAUACAAGUUCCUUCAGCUGCCGGACACUUGAUACAUACUUGCUGUUUACUGUAAACAUUUGAAACAACAGAGAGGGUGUAAAUACAAGAAAUGCAAUAUGUUUCAUUGCUAUAGCUUUUUUCAAAUGCAUUUGAUUGGCAUUUUUACCAAUAUUAUUCUGUAUUUUUCUCAAAUGUUUAAAUCCAUCAUCCAUUUCCAAACACAUGCAUCAUUUGCAAUCCUAGUAUGAUGUUCAUUUAUUUUUCCAUAAAACCUUUGAACUAUUUGAAAACAAAUUGUAUCCUGAUUAAAAAUGCUUUGUGGCUGUUAUAA
This is a long non-coding RNA of Nerophis ophidion (straightnose pipefish), 1686 nucleotides long. RefSeq lists it as uncharacterized. Lineage: Eukaryota; Metazoa; Chordata; Actinopteri; Syngnathiformes; Syngnathidae. The record is from RefSeq and is a predicted model, not a curated record. The transcript is spliced from 2 exons.